Molecule: ribosomal RNA, 300 nt
Filed under: uncultured Halogeometricum sp.
Lineage: Archaea; Methanobacteriati; Methanobacteriota; Halobacteria; Halobacteriales; Haloferacaceae
Description: bacterial SSU rRNA
Rfam family: Bacterial small subunit ribosomal RNA
Source: RNAcentral
GGUAACUACUGGUCGUGGGCGUGGGUAAGACGAAGGGUUCAAGCGGUAAUCGGAAUUACUGGGCGUAAAGCGUGCGUAGGCGGUUCUUUAAGUCUGCUGUGAAAUCCCCGGGCUCAACCUGGGAAUGGCAGUGGAUACUGGAGAGCUAGAGUGUGAUAGAGGAUGGUGGAAUUCCCGGUGUAGCGGUGAAAUGCGUAGAGAUCGGGAGGAACAUCAGUGGCGAAGGCGGCCAUCUGGAUCAACACUGACGCUGAGGCACGAAAGCGUGGGGAGCAAACAGGAUUAGAUACCCGGGUAGUC